This is a long non-coding RNA of Manis pentadactyla (Chinese pangolin), 1380 nucleotides long. RefSeq lists it as uncharacterized. NCBI's taxonomy places the organism in Eukaryota, Metazoa, Chordata, Mammalia, Pholidota, Manidae. The record is from RefSeq and is a predicted model, not a curated record. The transcript has 4 exons.
AGACCCAAGGGCAGUCACAGAAGGUGAAAGGGAAGAAAAGGUCAGAUAGGGAAAAGGAACGGCUCUGUGACUGGACUUCCCUGAAUUCUGCACCUGACUGGACUCUCCUUACGGGAACCUGUCAAGUCUUUGGAGUGGAAUUAACCCCUCCUUCACAGUUGCCCAUGACAUACACUCAAAAAUACGUCCAAGAAGCUGGAGAUACAAAUGCGAGGCGAUUAAAGUAAGAGGCAGUUUAUCCUUGGGAAAGCCGAGAAAAUGGAAAAACAACAAAAAGAGGAAGGCAGCCACAAGGAAAGAGUUCAGGCAGUGACCAGCUGGGAUUUUGGUGCGGGUUGUUACUGGGACAAAAACACCAAAGGAAUCCAGACCUGGGCACUUUCCUUCAGAUGUACGAACAUUUCCUGAAAGGAAACCUUUAAAGACUUUGAGCAUCAAACUGUCACGGCAGAGGGCAGCGGGGAGAAACAGUGUUCUCAAACCUGUCUCAAGUGUCCUUAUGGUGCUGAAUUGGCCAGACAUUUUUGGAAGUAUGUGAUUCUGCUUUUGGAAGCUUGUGAUCGCCCUCCCCCCAUCAUCACCUAUUUGAAUCAGUCCAGUUCAAUUUGACAAGCGCUUAUGGACCACUUCAUGGAAAAAUGGGAAGAAACUGGACUUGGUCUCAGAAUUCCUGGAUUCGGUGCUGGCUCUGCUAUUUACUUCCUAAUUUGACUUUCACUAAAUAAAUUUGCCUGUUUGGGUCAUGGUUUCAUAAUGUGCAAAAUGAAAGUCUAGACAGGUUGUGACACCCUUUCAGAUGUAAAGACGUGACUGUGAGCAUCACACUUUCCUGGGACUGUAGAGGAAUGCAGAACAGCUGUCUGGUUUGAGACUCUCUCACUUAGAUGGCAACGUGACGCGGCUGGCCCUGGCCAUCGACUUGUUUGCUCCCAGACUUAUUCUUUGCUCCUUCUCUGCCUGUUCUGAAUCAUAUUUCCUGAGCCCCUUGCUUCUGGUUUUCUGGAGGUUUAGCUGAUGAGAGGAAUUGAUAGGAGACUGGAAAUUAGGAGGAGGAGAAAAGCCAAAGUAAUUUCCUGUCUCUGUCUCUCUGCUUGAGUAGCGUCCAAGGCAACCAUGUUAAUUCCUGUUAGACAACUUCUCCUCCACUGUCCCAAGUGGCACAGCACAGGCAAGGUGAUCAUGUGGGAUCCACCAGGAAGUUCCUGGGGUCCAGUAGUGCCACCUACACCCUUGGAUCCUGCAGCUCAAAGGAACCGUGGAAUUCUUGGUCAAACUUCAAGCGGAUACCUGAAGAAAGAGUGGAAGCGACACUAGAGCCUCAUGAAGAUAAUGCAACCCUUGGAAGAGCUCCAAAUGACACUGGAAGAGGACGGGGUGGGG